RNAcentral lists this unclassified non-coding RNA (214 nucleotides) under soil metagenome. Its description in RNAcentral is "partial contains 5.8S ribosomal RNA, internal transcribed spacer 2, and large subunit ribosomal RNA". The record is from RNAcentral.
AACGGUCUAUACCUGCGGUACCUGCGGAGGGAUCAUUACAGGACUCGCAAGACUCCUUAAACCCCUGUGAACUUACUGUUUAUACGUUGCUUCGGCGGGUGCUCCGGGGUCCGCCCCGGGGCGCUGCGCCCGCCGGCAGCCUACUUAAUUCUGUUUCUCUGCGUUGGCAUCUCGAGUAAGCAAAAUAAGUUAAAACUUUCAACAAUGGAUCUCU